RNAcentral lists this ribosomal RNA (823 nucleotides) under uncultured fungus. RNAcentral describes it as "SSU rRNA". It matches the Rfam family "Eukaryotic small subunit ribosomal RNA", at positions 563 to 1413 of the family's 1831-position model. Lineage: Eukaryota; Fungi. The record is from RNAcentral.
UGUGCCAGCCGCCGCGGUAAUUCCAGCUCCAAUAGCGUAUAUUAAAGUUGUUGCAGUUAAAAAGCUCGUAGUUGAACCUUGGGCCUGGCUAGCCGGUCCGCCUCACCGCGUGUACUGGUCCGGCUGGGCCUUUCCUUCUGGGGAUCCGCAUGCCCUUCACUGGGUGUGUCGGGGAACCAGGACUUUUACUUUGAAAAAAUUAGAGUGUUCAAAGCAGGCCUUUGCUCGAAUACAUUAGCAUGGAAUAAUAGAAUAGGACGUGCGGUUCUAUUUUGUUGGUUUCUAGGACCGCCGUAAUGAUUAAUAGGGAUAGUCGGGGGCAUCAGUAUUCAAUUGUCAGAGGUGAAAUUCUUGGAUUUAUUGAAGACUAACUACUGCGAAAGCAUUUGCCAAGGAUGUUUUCAUUAAUCAGGAACGAAAGUUAGGGGAUCGAAGACGAUCAGAUACCGUCGUAGUCUUAACCAUAAACUAUGCCGACUAGGGAUCGGGCGAUGUUAUUAUUUUGACUCGCUCGGCACCUUACGAGAAAUCAUAAGUUUUUGGGUUCUGGGGGGAGUAUGGUCGCAAGGCUGAAACUUAAAGAAAUUGAUGGAAGGGCACCACCAGGCGUGGAGCCUGCGGCUUAAUUUGACUCAACACGGGGAAACUCACCAGGUCCAGACACAAUAAGGAUUGACAGAUUGAGAGCUCUUUCUUGAUUUUGUGGGUGGUGGUGCAUGGCCGUUCUUAGUUGGUGGAGUGAUUUGUCUGCUUAAUUGCGAUACGAACGAGACCUUAACCUGCUAAAUAGCCCGGCCAGCUUUUGCUGGUCGCUGGCUUCUUA